GAGAACUCCAGGGUAAAGACGGGCCUUUUAAACUGAACUGCAUUAGAGAGAACUCCAGGGUAGAGACGGGUCUUGUAAACUGAACUGUAUUAGAGAGAACUCCAGGGUAGAGACGGGUCUUGUAAACUGAACUGUAUUAGAGAGAACUCCAGGGUAGAGAAGGGUCUUGUAAACUGAACUGUAUUAGAGAGAACUCCAGGGUAGAGACGGGUCUUGUAAACUGAACUGCAUUAGAGAGAACUCCAGGGUAGAGACGGGUCUUGUAAACUGAACUGUAUUAGAGAGAACUCCAGGGUAGAGACGGGUCUUGUAAACUGAACUGUAUUAGAGAGAACUCCAGGGUAGACAAGGGUCUUGUAAACUGAACUGUAUUAGAGAGAACUCCAGGGUAGAGACGGGCCUUGUAAACUGAACUGUAUUAGAGAGAACUCCAGGGUAGAGACGGGUCUUGUAAACUGAACUGUAUUAGAGAGAACUCCAGGGUAGACAAGGGUCUUGUAAACUGAACUGUAUUAGAGAGAACUCCAGGGUAGAGACGGGCCUUGUAAACUGAACUGUAUUAGAGAGAACUCCAGGGUAAAGACGGGCCUUGUAAACUGAACUGCAUUAGAGAGAACUCCAGGGUAGAGACGGGUCUUGUAAACUGAACUGUAUUAGAGAGAACUCCAGGGUAGAGACGGGUCUUGUAAACUGAACUGUAUUAGAGAGAACUCCAGGGUAGAGAAGGGUCUUGUAAACUGAACUGUAUUAGAGAGAACUCCAGGGUAGAGGCGGGUCUUGUAAACUGAACUGCAUUAGAGAGAACUCCAGGGUAGAGACGGGUCUUGUAAACUGAACUGCAUUAGAGAGAACUCCAGGGUAGAGACGGGUCUUGUAAACUGAACUGUAUUAGAGAGAACUCCAGGGUCGAGACGGGCCUUGUAAACUGAACUGUAUUAGAGAGAACUCCAGGGAGAGACAGGUCUUGUAAACUGAACUGCAUUAGAGAGAACUCCAGGGUAGAGACGGGCCUUGUAAACUGAACUGUAUUAGAGAGAACUCCAGGGUAGAGACGGGUCUUGUAAACUGAACUGUAUUAGAGAGAACUCCAGGGUAGACAAGGGUCUUGUAAACUGAACUGUAUUAGAGAGAACUCCAGGGUAGAGACGGGUCUUGUAAACUGAACUGUAUUAGAGAGAACUCCAGGGUAGAGACGGGUCUUGUAAACCGAACUGUAUUAGAGAGAACUCCAGGGUAGAGACGGGCCUUGUAAACUGAACUGUAUCAGAGAGAACUCCAGGGUAGAGACGGGUCUUGUAAACUGAACUGUAUUAGAGAGAACUCCAGGGUAGAGACGGGUCUUUUAAACUGAACUGUAUUAGAGAGAACUCCAGGGUAGAGACAGGUCUUGUAAACUGAACUGUAUUAGAGAGAACUCCAGGGUAGAGACGGGUCUUGUAAACUGAACUGUAUUAGAGAGAACUCCAGGGUAGAGACGGGUCUUGUAAACUGAACUGUAUUAGAGAGAACUCCAGGGUAGAGACGGGUCUUGUAAACCGAACUGUAUUAGAGAGAACUCCAGGGUAGAGAAGGGUCUUGUAAACUGAACUGCAUUAGAGAGAACUCCAGGAUAGAGACGGGCCUUGUAAACUGAACUGCAUUAGAGAGAACUCCAGGGUAGAGACGGGUCUUGUAAACUGAACUGCAUUAGAGAGAACUCCAGGGUAGAGACGGGUCUUGUAAACCGAACUGUAUUAGAGAGAACUCCAGGGUAGAGAAGGGUCUUGUAAACUGAACUGCAUUAGAGAGAACUCCAGGGUAGAGACAGGUCUUGUAAACUGAACUGUAUUAGAGAGAACUCCAGGGUAGAGACGGGUCUUGUAAACUGAACUGCAUUAGAGAGAACUCCAGGGUAGACAAGGGUCUUGUAAACUGAACUGUAUUAGAGAGAACUCCAGGGUAGACAAGGGUCUUGUAAACUGAACUGUAUUAGAGAGAACUCCAGGGUAGACAAGGGUCUUGUAAACUGAACUGUAUUAGAGAGAACUCCAGGGUAGAGACGGGCCUUGUAAACUGAACUGCAUUAGAGAGAACUCCAGGGUAGACAAGGGUCUUGUAAACUGAACUGUAUUAGAGAGAACUCCAGGGUAGAGACGGGUCUUGUAAACUGAACUGCAUUAGAGAGAACUCCAGGGUAGAGACGGGUCUUGUAAACUGAACUGUAUUAGAGAGAACUCCAGGGUAGACAAGGGUCUUGUAAACUGAACUGUAUUAGAGAGAACUCCAGGGUAGAGACGGGUCUUGUAAACUGAACUGCAUUAGAGAGAACUCCAGGGUAGACAAGGGUCUUGUAAACUGAACUGUAUUAGAGAGAACUCCAGGGUAGACAAGGGUCUUGUAAACUGAACUGUAUUAGAGAGAACUCCAGGGUAGACAAGGGUCUUGUAAACUGAACUGUAUUAGAGAGAACUCCAGGGUAGAGACGGGCCUUGUAAACUGAACUGCAUUAGAGAGAACUCCAGGGUAGACAAGGGUCUUGUAAACUGAACUGUAUUAGAGAGAACUCCAGGGUAGAGACGGGUCUUGUAAACUGAACUGCAUUAGAGAGAACUCCAGGGUAGACAAGGGUCUUGUAAACUGAACUGUAUUAGAGAGAACUCCAGGGUAGACAAGGGUCUUGUAAACUGAACUGUAUUAGAGAGAACUCCAGGGUAGACAAGGGUCUUGUAAACUGAACUGUAUUAGAGAGAACUCCAGGGUAGAGACGGGCCUUGUAAACUGAACUGCAUUAGAGAGAACUCCAGGGUAGACAAGGGUCUUGUAAACUGAACUGUAUUAGAGAGAACUCCAGGGUAGAGACGGGUCUUGUAAACUGAACUGCAUUAGAGAGAACUCCAGGGUAGAGACGGGUCUUGUAAACUGAACUGUAUUAGAGAGAACUCCAGGGUAGACAAGGGUCUUGUAAACUGAACUGUAUUAGAGAGAACUCCAGGGUAGAGACGGGUCUUGUAAACUGAACUGCAUUAGAGAGAACUCCAGGGUAGAGACGGGUCUUGUAAACUGAACUGUAGUAGAGAGAACUCCAGGGUAGAGACGGGUCUUGUAAACUGAACUGUAUUAGAGAGAACUCCAGGGUAGAGACGGGUCUUGUAAACUGAACUGUAUUAGAGAGAACUCCAGGGUAGAGACGGGUCUUGUAAACUGAACUGCAUUAGAGAGAACUCCAGGGUAGAGACGGGUCUUGUAAACUGAACUGUAUUAGAGAGAACUCCAGGGUAGAGACGGGUCUUGUAAACUGAACUGCAUUAGAGAGAACUCCAGGGUAGAGACGGGUCUUGUAAACUGAACUGUAUUAGAGAGAACUCCAGGGUCGAGACGGGCCUUGUAAACUGAACUGUAUUAGAGAGAACUCCAGGGUCGAGACGGGUCUUGUAAACUGAAUGUCUGAAAUGUCACUGUAUUUCCUAUAUUGAAUUGGAAUAGGGUGCUGGCUGGUUCUGACCAAAACCAGUACUUGGGAAUAGGUCGAUGGCUCUGACCAAAAGUAUUGCACUAUCUUGGGAAUAGGGUGUUGGCUAUUUGCCCUCUGAUUCAGACACUUCUACAGUAUGUGUCUCUGUCUUGUGUAUCAGUGUCUGUCAGGAAUGUGAAGAGAUGGUUUAAGAGGGUAGAGAGAGUAGGAGGGCCUCAUACAGCAUGUGUAGCAAUCACAAAAUGUUUUGUGAAGGGUGGGGUAGGAGGGAGGGAGGGUAGUUUGACCUGGUUUGACUGCUCGUACCAGUCACUAUGAGGAGACAUACAUCUCUUGUAAUAUUUCUAGUACUUGUGUAACUUCAGAACAGGGGCACAAAUGUAUGGGAGGGCAACAUCUGUUUUCAUUUUUUCAAAUCUUGUUCAUCAGUUUUUUGCUUUAAGAGUGACUGUCUAAUUGAAUCUUUGCUGAUUCCUUGAUUUUAACAAUUACUCUUCUCU
Oncorhynchus keta (chum salmon) is the source of this 3951-nucleotide long non-coding RNA. RefSeq lists it as uncharacterized. The transcript has 3 exons. The record is from RefSeq and is a predicted model, not a curated record. Lineage: Eukaryota; Metazoa; Chordata; Actinopteri; Salmoniformes; Salmonidae.